CCUACGGGGGGCUGCAGUAAGGAAUAUUGGUCAAUGGACGAAAGUCUGAACCAGCCAUCCCGCGUGCAGGAUGAAAGCCCUAUGGGUUGUAAACUGCUUUUAGCAGAGAAGAAAAGCUUUCAUUAAUGAGAGUCUGACGGUAUCUGCAGAAUAAGCACCGGCUAACUCCGUGCCAGCAGCCGCGGUAAUACGGAGGGUGCGAGCGUUAUCCGGAAUUACUGGGUUUAAAGGGGAGGUAGGCGGCGUUGGAGAAAUCUUGACGCUGAACGAUAACAUUGCCAAUGAUACUGGGACUCUUGAAUUGGGUUGAGGUUAGCGGAAUGUGACAUGUAGCGGUGAAAUGCAUAGAUAUGUCAUGGAACACCAAUUGCGAAGGCAGCUAACUGGGCCUUGAUUGACGCUGAGGCACGAAAGCGUGGGGAGCGAACAGGAUUAGAUACCCGGGUAGUC
RNAcentral lists this ribosomal RNA (450 nucleotides) under uncultured bacterium. Its description in RNAcentral is "partial 16S ribosomal RNA". It matches the Rfam family "Bacterial small subunit ribosomal RNA", at positions 338 to 795 of the family's 1533-position model. The record is from RNAcentral.